RNAcentral lists this ribosomal RNA (473 nucleotides) under uncultured bacterium. Its description in RNAcentral is "bacterial SSU rRNA". It matches the Rfam family "Bacterial small subunit ribosomal RNA", at positions 32 to 517 of the family's 1533-position model. The record is from RNAcentral.
AUCAACGCUGGCGGCGUGCCUCAGACAUGCAAGUCGAACGAUUAAAGCUCCCUUCGGGGAGUGCAUAAAGUGGCGCACGGGUGAGUAACACGUAAGUAAUCUACCCUCGGGUGGGGAAUAACGUCCGGAAACGGACGCUAAUACCGCAUAAUGCAGCGGCACCGCAAGGUGACAGUUGUUAAAGAUUUAUUGCCUGGGGAGGAGCUUGCGGCAGAUUAGCUUGUUGGUAAGGAACGGCUUACCAAGGCUACGAUCUGUAUCCGGUCUAAGAGGACGGUCGGACACACUGACACUGAAUAACGGGUCAGACUCCUACGGGAGGCAGCAGUCGGGAAUUUUGGGCAAUGGGGGAAACCCUGACCCAGCAACGCCGCGUGAAGGAUGAAGUAUUUCGGUAUGUAAACUUCGAAAGAAUAGGAAGAAUUAAUGACGGUACUAUUUAUAAGGUCCGGCUAACUACGUGCCAGCAGCCG